This 530-nucleotide ribosomal RNA is filed under the name Escherichia coli. RNAcentral describes it as "partial 23S ribosomal RNA". It matches the Rfam family "Bacterial large subunit ribosomal RNA", at positions 1213 to 1744 of the family's 2925-position model. The record is from RNAcentral. Lineage: Bacteria; Pseudomonadati; Pseudomonadota; Gammaproteobacteria; Enterobacterales; Enterobacteriaceae.
CUUAUGCGUUGUUGGGUAGGGGAGCGUUCUGUAAGCCUGCGAAGGUGUGCUGUGAGGCAUGCUGGAGGUAUCAGAAGUGCGAAUGCUGACAUAAGUAACGAUAAAGCGGGUGAAAAGCCCGCUCGCCGGAAGACCAAGGGUUCCUGUCCAACGUUAAUCGGGGCAGGGUGAGUCGACCCCUAAGGCGAGGCCGAAAGGCGUAGUCGAUGGGAAACAGGUUAAUAUUCCUGUACUUGGUGUUACUGCGAAGGGGGGACGGAGAAGGCUAUGUUGGCCGGGCGACGGUUGUCCCGGUUUAAGCGUGUAGGCUGGUUUUCCAGGCAAAUCCGGAAAAUCAAGGCUGAGGCGUGAUGACGAGGCACUACGGUGCUGAAGCAACAAAUGCCCUGCUUCCAGGAAAAGCCUCUAAGCAUCAGGUAACAUCAAAUCGUACCCCAAACCGACACAGGUGGUCAGGUAGAGAAUACCAAGGCGCUUGAGAGAACUCGGGUGAAGGAACUAGGCAAAAUGGUGCCGUAACUUCGGGAGAA